UCUCUGCUUGUCUGCACUGUAUUCUGGUC
RNAcentral lists this non-coding RNA (29 nucleotides) under Rattus norvegicus (Norway rat). Lineage: Eukaryota; Metazoa; Chordata; Mammalia; Rodentia; Muridae. The record is from RNAcentral.